CAGCCGCCACGGGAAUACGGAGGGUGCAAGCGUUAUCCGGAUUUAUUGGGUUUAAAGGGUCCGUAGGCGGACUUAUAAGUCAGUGGUGAAAGCCUUUCGCUUAACGAUAGAACUGCCAUUGAUACUGUAAGUCUUGAGUAUAUUUGAGGUAGCUGGAAUAAGUAGUGUAGCGGUGAAAUGCAUAGAUAUUACUUAGAACACCAAUUGCGAAGGCAGGUUACCAAGAUAUAACUGACGCUGAGGGACGAAAGCGUGGGUAGCGAACAGGAUUAGAUACCCCUGUAGUCCCUGUCUCUUAUAC
Molecule: ribosomal RNA, 301 nt
Filed under: uncultured bacterium
Lineage: Bacteria
Description: partial 16S ribosomal RNA
Rfam family: Bacterial small subunit ribosomal RNA
Source: RNAcentral